UAGGAAGUGAUUGCUCUGUUCUUCUUUGUAAUCAUGCAUACGUUUGCUAAUAAGGUAUGAAUCUGGGAAUGUGGAAGCUGCUUCAUAAGCUACACGGUAGUUUAACAUUUGCAAGCACAUAUUUCAGCAUUUGAGGAUAGGCUCUAGCAUGAACUUUUAUAUCAUGAAUCUUAAACUGGUAUUGUAGUUAUUGUUAGCGGCUUUGAUUGUUUGAAUUGAGAGCAUAUUAUUCUUUGACAUAUUAUUUUUUAUUGGAACUGUUUCAUUGCUUGUAAUUGAUUGAGCUUGUGAUUGCAUUGUUAAUAUGAUGAUGAAUUAGUCAAGAUUGGAUAGCAUCCCAAAAAGAGACAUCCAUGGCAAAAUGGACCGAGACUUCCACCAACUUGUUUGUGAGUUUGCUGGUAGAAGAGAUCAAAAAGGGAAAUCGCACCUCUUGUACUUUCAACAAAGUAGAGUGGAAAAACAUAAGGACCGCAUUCAACAACAAGAUAGAAGUUCAAUAUACCCAAGCACAAUUGAAAAAUAAGACGAACAAGCCGAGAACACAAUAUGGUAGUUUUAAGAAGCUUUUUUCACAAUCUGGAUUUGGCUGGGAUAAUGUCAAUAAAAGAGUGACCGUCAAUGAUUCAAGUAUAUGGGAACUUCACAUGAUGGUACAAUGGAA
This is a long non-coding RNA of Rhodamnia argentea, 664 nucleotides long. RefSeq lists it as uncharacterized. NCBI's taxonomy places the organism in Eukaryota, Viridiplantae, Streptophyta, Magnoliopsida, Myrtales, Myrtaceae. The transcript has 3 exons. The record is from RefSeq and is a predicted model, not a curated record.